RNAcentral lists this ribosomal RNA (478 nucleotides) under uncultured bacterium. RNAcentral describes it as "SSU rRNA". It matches the Rfam family "Bacterial small subunit ribosomal RNA", at positions 26 to 517 of the family's 1533-position model. The record is from RNAcentral.
AGGACGAACGCUGGCGGCGUGCCUAACACAUGCAAGUCGAACGAGGCUUAUCCGGUAGCAAUACCGGAGACUGCCUAGUGGCGAACGGGUGAGUAGCACGUGAGCAACCUGCCCCGAAGACUGGGAUAACACCGGGAAACCGGUGCUAAUACCAGAUGCCCCCACCGGAUCGCAUGAUCUGGUGAGGAAAUGGAUUCCGCUUCGGGAGGGGCUCGCGGCCUAUCAGCUAGUUGGUGAGGUAACGGCUCACCAAGGCUUCGACGGGUAGCUGGUCUGAGAGGACGAUCAGCCACACUGGGACUGAGACACGGCCCAGACUCCUACGGGAGGCAGCAGUGGGGAAUCUUGCACAAUGGGCGAAAGCCUGAUGCAGCAACGCCGCGUGAGGGACGAAGGCUUUCUGAGUUGUAAACCUCUUUCAGCAGGGACGAUUGUGACGGUACCUGCAGAGAAGCCCGGCACUACGUGCCAGCAGCCG